AUGAUGGACAUGAUAUAAUGAAACAACAUUGUGGAGAGGAAAGCAUUAGGGGAGCCCACGGCUACAAAACAAGUGAGAAGAGGUGGGAGAAAGAGAAACUACGCCACCUCCUCUGCAGCCGAGCGCACGCAGCAGCCUGGCGUGACAAGUGGGCGACGCCAGGGACAGAGAGUGGGGGUCCUCCGCCCGCUCCGGGGACCCUGUCGCCCACCGUGGUGCGCUGAGCAACUUUUAGCCGGCAGCCCCGCACCUGUCUCAGAGUCCCCAUCGCUCCCCACCAACCAUCAUGGGAAAAUUCUAGAAGAAUACGCUCUCGGAAUCUACGUGCGCAUCAUUUUCCUCCUCACUCCAGAGGAAGGAACCAGAAAAGAGAGCAAAGCGGUGUAGUGUUCAGCCUCAAGAACCCCCGUGCAUCCCAGGGAUGGCGCCCUCUACAGGAGGGUCCUUGCCUCACUUUCGGGAGUCUCUUAACUGCAUCUCGUUGAUUCCUAGCGUUAGAAGAACUGAGCUAACAGGAGUCUGCCACCUCUCUGCCUUGCUGAUGCACCCAGGCAGGGCUCACUGGUUUGCAGGAGUACAUGACCACAGAUCAGAGCCAUUGGCUGCACAGAUACCUGACUCUGGGCUCUCAGGAAGACUCAGGCAGAGAUGGGGAGUCGGCCUGCAAGCUGGGACGCUAGAGCUCACGUGCAGUUCUCCAUUUAGCUAGGAGGUUUCCAGGGCAACCACCGAAGCAGUAAUUAAAGAUGAAGAGCUAAAAGGUAAGUACUUCCAAACCUGAAUCCUGAAGGAGGUGGUCCGCAGGCUGGUGUCACAGUGUGCACUCUUAUUCACUUAACAUUAAGUAAAUAAUUUUUUAAAUACAUUUUUGAAAACCUCUGAUGAGAGGAUACACACUAAAUUAGGAUGUUCAUGCUCUGCUUUGAUUUGUAUCUUUUCACGCGCGCACGUAUUCUUGUAUGUACGUACACACCACACACACACACACACAUUUUUAUGCUUCCACCAGCCAGUCAUGGGACCAGGCAUUGGGAUACCAGGGCUUAAGGUGUCUUUCGGGUUCCUGUUUUGAACGUCCUAGCAUGCAUGUAUAUAUAUAUACAUACAUACAUAUAUAUAUAUACACAUUUAAGGCAUGCAAACGAGCAACUGCAGAGGCGUCUACAGUACUUAGCGUGUAGCAGGAACAUCCAGGCUCUCCAGGCAGUUCACGGGUGCUUACACAGCCUGACGAGGUGCUCGCCGUGCCGCCAUCCUUUCCUUGAGCGAACUGUACCCUGGGUUAUGAACCUUGUUUGCCUGAUAGUUCAGGGCAUCAGUGCAGUAACAGGGCUGAUGAGAGAGAGCUCCACCAAAGCAGCAGCGCCAUUGAGAAGGUAGAAGACAGCUAUUUUAACGGAAGCUUCAGAAGCUCAUGAGUCUAUUCCCAGGAGUAUGGGUAAAGUUUGCUCAUGCAAAUGCUGCAUUUCAUGAGUCCAUGGGUUAAAGCAGUUACGGACCCUGGAAGAUGGGAGAUACUUACAAAAAGCAAAGCCCAGAUCUCCACACCUUCAAAGAGAAGAUGCUCAAAUCUCCAAUUUUCAGACCAGUGCUUUUUUCAGUUAUGCACUGGUAUAUGGCUGAAACUGUAGGUGGCAUGGGAGACUUUGGUAAGUGUAGGCCCUAGGAUAUCUGUCCCACCAUUUUCCCUGUAACAAAAGUAAGGAAUCUGUAA
Molecule: long non-coding RNA, 1714 nt
Filed under: Mus musculus (house mouse)
Lineage: Eukaryota; Metazoa; Chordata; Mammalia; Rodentia; Muridae
Description: long non-protein coding RNA, Trp53 induced transcript (Lncpint)
Source: RNAcentral